This 292-nucleotide ribosomal RNA is filed under the name uncultured bacterium. RNAcentral describes it as "partial 16S ribosomal RNA". It matches the Rfam family "Bacterial small subunit ribosomal RNA", at positions 505 to 796 of the family's 1533-position model. The record is from RNAcentral.
GUGUCAGCAGCCGCGGUAAUACGGGGGGGGCUAGCGUUGUUCGGAAUUACUGGGCGUAAAGGGCGCGUAGGCGGCCUACUAAGUCGGACGUGAAAUCCCUCGGCUCAACCGGGGAACUGCGUCCGAUACUGGUGGGCUCGAAUCCGGGAGAGGGAUGUGGAAUUCCAGGUGUAGCGGUGAAAUGCGUAGAUAUCUGGAGGAACACCGGUGGCGAAGGCGGCAUCCUGGACCGGUAUUGACGCUGAUGCGCGAAAGCCAGGGGAGCAAACGGGAUUAGAUACCCCUGUAGUCC